UUUUAUUCCGAGCGCGCUGGGGCCCACAGUCGUACGCCACGCAGGGGUAGAGGACUGCGGCCCCGAGUGUGGAGUCGUGACAGCUUUUAUGGGGUUCACAACAAAGCCCGCGCUUUUACAAACUAAUCAUUUUUAAAAUAUCGCAAACCAGUCAAUUCAAAACUUCGAGAGCCCGCGCUUUGUGGACCAAUUAAUUUUAAGUUGUUCUGGAGUUACAUGUUUGUGCCUGUCUCUGGGUGGGGGAGACAUAUUGUCACCAAGAUAUAUUUAUCAGGAUUUUCAACAUUUUGUGGCACGCCCGAUCUUACUGGGGUCCGUUAGGCAAUUGACUUCUCCUCUUUUUAUCUUAUGCAAGCAGGUUUACAGAAGCCAAACAAGCAGUUAGGAGCAGUUUCAAGAAGUUUCAAGCAUAGAGGCACAUACUCAGGGGCCUGUUUUUCCCCUUCCACAAAGUUUUGUACAGAGCAGAAAGCAAGCCCUAAAACAGCAAAAAGUAUGAUCUUUUACCUAUAGGGAACAGGGUCUGGAAUUCGAGGGCAUUUAGAGCUUCUUAUUAACUUCCUGGGUUCUGGGAGAGUCAGGUUGCAUUUUCAUCCUUUCAUUCCCCACUUCUUCUCUUGUUAAUAGUUCUAAUCUUAGAACUAGGAAGGCUAAAGGUCAGUUUCUCCUUAGCUUGGAAGGCCUUGGUACUGCUGUCUAAGUACCAUGAUCCGAACUGCACUCACUUGUUCUCUAACAAAGGCAACAAACCGAUUAAUUAAGCAAGAUCUAACCCCCUUCUGUUCUGUAGAACCACUUCAGAUAAGGAGGUUAGGGAUUCCUCCAGGUUACUGACAGAUUUUUCUAGGGCUUGGAGAUCUUCCGUUACAAUUCGAUGUAGGUUACUAAGUCCUUUCUCCAGCUGUUGCGGUCCUGUGAUUAGGGCAGCCGUUCCUGUUCCCACGCCUGCAGCCACUCCCAAUCCGAGCAUUACAGCUAGUGUCAGGGAUAUGGGCUCUCUUUUUGGCCGAUUAUAUCUAUAGUCAUAUUCAUCAAGGACUGCUUUUUCGGGAUAGUAGUACACCCGGGGGACAAUUUGGACCAUAACGCAAAAGUCUUUAGUUUGGUUGAAAACCAAGGUGGAAACACAAGGGGUUAAUCCAGUAUUACAUGCCCACCACCUGUCAUAACCAGGUACCAGAUACUGACUCUCAGAGGUUCGAUUAAAGGCUUCAGUGUGGUUACAAAGGUGUUGGUGGGAUGGGGGAACCAUCCCUAUGCAGGUGCCUUUUCCAGAAACCUCAGUAAGGGUAAGCUUAUUUUGGGAUCCCCAUGUACAUUGGUCUCUAUGUUCCUUUGUCACAUUGAAUUUCCCUCCUCUAGCCAUUCCCUCAUAGUAAGGUGGGCCCGAAGCUAAGCAAAGCCAACAAGAAGAGGUAGCCUCUGGAGUCGUGGAGUUAAGAGCUUGAAAAGCUCCCUGGAUGAGGCUAAAAAGUUUCGCCCCUGUUUUAAUAGUGAUGUUAGGCUCAGUGGGGACUGAUCCAGAGGUUGUAUUGUAAUCAGAGGGGUUAGGAGAUGGCCUCUGUUCUUGGAUUGGAGGUCCUUGUUCGGCCAAACCCUUAUUUGGUCCUAUAGCAACCGGAGGUUCCAUCUGAGUUUCUAUUCUGAGGCGAAUAGUCAGAACAGAUCCUUUCUUUCUCCCAGAGCCUCCAUAGUACACUAUUCCCCAAGACAUACCAUUUACCCACUUUUGAAUAUUUUCUUGUUUUCCUUUUUCAGUGAAACUUAUUUUUAAGUAAUCUAGGUCUAACGAAUGACAGCUUAUUUGCUUAUUUCGUACAUCUUUUUGUACCCGCUGUUGCCAAUCUUUCCAUCUCCCAUGGCCAUAAUUAAAUUGAUUAUAACUGGUAGGAUUGUUAACAAAAGAGUAACUUACUCUGUCUUGCUGAGAGACUGGCCAUUUCCAAUUCCCAUCAUUAGAAGUUACGCAGCUCCAUUGCUUGCAAAAGAAAUCCUGAGGAUUUCCACAAUAUUCUUCAUUAUUUGGGGGUCCUGGGCAAACAUAAAACCCAUAAGCACGGAGUACAUCGGGGGGUGUGGCCUGGUCGUUGAGACCAGGGAUUACCGAUCGAAGGCAGACAUAUAACUCAGGCCACCAGGUCCCUAAGGGAGCCUCCCCUUGAGUGCUGUUAAUAGUAAUACCUGUACUGGAGUCAGUAAGUAACCAGGUGAGAGAUAAGGGUUUGUGGGAGUUCGGGCGUUUACCAUUAACUUGAGGAGUUAUUUACAGAGUAAGGAACCAAGCGAUGGAGGCGAAGCUUAAGGGGGUUUUCAGUCUUUUCGGCUCUCCACCCCGAAUCGGGAGGUGGCGCCGGCUUAACGUGGGAUGCAUGGAUCUAGGUGGAGAUUCCUUCAACUUUUACAGCCGUUGGUGUGGUCAAAAGUACGAGAUAAGGGCCCUUCCACCGAGUCUCGAGGUUUCCUGCACGGUGGCGUCUAACAUAGACUGAAUCUCCAACUUGGAAGCGAUGUGGAACUUGCAAGUCUCCUCCUGAGUAGGCCUCCCAGAGCUGCUUCCAUGCUCGCUGCCUCACCUACUCGAGUGCCUUAAGCCUAGAGAACAAAGGCUGGGAAAGCAGUACAUCAGCACUAUGUACAAAGGCAAUUUCUGCCAACCGGGGGGGGGGGUCCCCCAUAGAGCAAUUCAUAAGGGGUCAGCCCAAACUGUCCAGGGGUGUUCCUAACCCUAAAAAGCACAAAGGGCAGGAGAGCUAUCCAAUCAUUAAUGCCAGUCUCUGUGGUCAAUUUGGUAAGGGUCUCUUUAAUGGUUCUAUUCAUCCUCUCUACCUGUCCUGAGCUUUGGGGUCUGUAUGCACAAUGCAGUUUCCAAUCAAUCCCCAAUAUCUUGGCCAGUCCCUGACUUACCUGGGCAACGAAAGCUGGACCAUUGUCUGACCCUAUUACCUUAGGUAUUCCAAAUCUUGGAAAAAUUUCCUCCAGUAUUUUCUUAGCCACCACGGUUGAAGUCUCUUUCUUAGUAGGAUAAGCCUCUACCCAUCCUGAAAAGGUGUCUACAAAAACCAAUAGAUAUUUGUUUCCGUAUUUAGCCGGCUUUACCUCAGUGAAGUCCACUUCCCAGUGAGCGCCUGGGUGGCUUCCCCUUAGUCUCUUUCCUGGAGGUAUUCUGGAAGGAUUAGCAUUAACCAGCUGGCAGGGCACACAAUGUUUGACCACCGAGUCAGCCACUCCUGGUAGCCUCAGAACAUGAUAAGGGGAUGUUCUGACCAACUGCUGCAGGUGUUUAGUUCCUAGGUGGGUUAGACGAUGUAUCUGUUGGACAUAUUCUAACCCUUCUUUGUGGGGCAGGAUUUCCUUCCCAUCUGAGGUAUAGCAGGUCCCCUCCGGAGUUUCAGAGAACUGGUCUAUCUUUUUUAUUUCUUGCCAGUCUUCUAGGGUGUACUGUCGUCCGGGUUCUGGGGCUUUGGGUGUUUCUAUCAUAGGCAGAAGGUUAACACCCUGGGCUGCCUGCUUGGCAACCCGGUCAGCCAUCUGGUUCCCUCUGGAUAUGGGAUCUUUGGCUUUCUGAUGUCCAGGACAGUGUAUAAUAGCUAGCCUUUUUGGCAAAUGUAAGGCUUCUAAUAGGCUUAGAAUUUCCUCUUUGUUCUUUAUUUCCCUCCCUGCUGAGGUAAGCAACCCCCUUUGCUUAUAGAUGGCCCCGUGUACGUGUGCAGUCGCAAAGGCAUACCUGCUGUCUGUAUAAAUGUUUAUGGAUUUCCCUUCGGCCAGCCGCAAAGCUUGCGUGAGGGCCAUGAGCUCAGCCUUUUGUGCUGAAGUUCCUUCCGGCAGGCUGCUGGCCCAGAUCGUGCGGGUCCCGUCCACCACCGCCGCCCCAGCCAUCCUCUUACCUUCCACCACAUAGCUGCUUCCGUCAGUGAACCAGGUUAACACUUCUCCAGUCAGCGGUAUGUCUGUAAGGUCCUUGCGGACCCCAGUCUCCUCAAUCAAUAGUUGAUGGCAAUCAUGAGUCACUGGUUCAUCAGUCUCUUCAGGCAGAAGAGUGGCAGGGUUGAGAGCGGCUGGUGGAGCGAACGUGACCCUCUCUGUGAGAAGCAGGCUUUGAUAGUGGGUCAUGCGGGCGUUGGUCAUCCAUCGGUCUGGGGGCUGCCGAACGAUGUUCUCCAACGCAUGGGGGGCUAUUACAGUUAUAUUCUGUCCCAAAGUCAAUUUGUCAGCGUCCUUGACCAGUAUGGCCACAGCUGCGAUAGCCUUCAGGCAUACGGGCCAACCACUGGCUACAGGAUCGAGCUUCUUUGACAGGUAGGCAACAGGUCUCCUCCAUGGUCCUAGAGUUUGGGUUAAAACUCCCCGGGCUACUCCCUUACGCUCAUCCACAUAAAGGGUAAAGGGUUUAGUCACGUCAGGGAGGGCCAGAGCAGGUGCGCUCAGCAGGGCCUUUUUGAUAGCAUCAAAUGCCUUCUGGUGCUCAGGAGCCCAGGAGAAUUCCCCUUUUUCUUUGGUUAGUGGGUAGAGUGGGGCUGCUAAGGUCGCAAACCCCGGGAUCCACAGUCUGCAAAAUCCAGCUGUCCCCAAAAACUCUCUCACUUGUUUGGCUGUGGUUGGGGCCGGUAUCUGGACUACAGUUCUCUUCCGUGCCUCCGUCAGCCAUCGCUGCCCGCCCCGCAAACUGUACCCCAAGUAUGUUACCUCUCUCCUGCAAAUCUGGGCCUUCUUAGCGGAGGCUCUGUAGCCUAGGUCAGACAAUUCCAGCAGUAGUGCCUUCGUACCUUCUAAGCAGUCCUGUUUGGUGGCUCCCGCCAGAAGCAGGUCAUCCACGUACUGGAGGAGGGUCACCUGGGGGUGUUGGAUCCUGAAGUUGGCCAGGUCUCUGUGUAGGGCUUCGUCAAAGAUGGUCGGGGAGUUUUUGAACCCUUGGGGCAGUCGAGUCCAAGUGAGCUGCCCGGUUCUUCCCGCACCUGGAUCUCUCCAUUCGAAGGCAAAAAGUGGUUGGCUAGUGGGAUGUAGUCUCAGGCAGAAGAAGGCAUCCUUUAAGUCCAAUACUGUAUACCAGCUCCGUUGGGGUGGGAGAGCACACAAGAGGUUAUAAGGGUUCGGGACUGUUGGGUGUAUAUCCUGCACCCGUUUAUUGACCUCUCUCAAGUCCUGUACUGGUCGAUAGUCAUUAGUCCCAGGCUUUCUAACCGGUAGCAGGGGAGUAUUCCAGGGAGAUUGGACAGGAACUAGGAUGCCCUGUUGGAUUAAUCUUUGAACAUGCGGCCGAAUUCCUUCUCGAGCUUCUUUACUCAAGGGGUACUGUCUGACUGACACUGGUGCAGCACUGGCCUUCAGUUGAAUAACCUGUGGGGGAACUUGCUUUGCCAAACCCAUCCCUGCGGUUUCUGCCCAGGCUUGGGGAAACUGUUCCAACCAGAAUUGUAUAUUUUGAUCAGGCUUUACUAGGGGAGAAUAUAGUCGAUAUUCGUCAUCUAAUUGGAGGGUCAACACAGUGAUAGGUUUGUUAUUUGCAGACACUUCUGGUUUCCCUUGUUCAAAAGAAAUUUGUGCUCCCAUCUUGGUCAGUAAGUCUCUACCUAAGAGGGGUGCUGGGCACUCAGGUAUGACCAGAAACGAGUGGGUUACCCGUCCCACUCCCAAGUCAACUGUUCUUCGGGUAGUCCAUGGAUAUUGUUGUUGCCCUGUGGCACCCAUCACCCAGGAUUUUUUAUCUUUUAGUUUUCCUAAUGGCUGUAGUAGCACUGAAUGUUUCGCUCCGGUAUCAACCAGAAACUCAACUGGUUGCCCCUCCACCUUUAAAGUUACCCUGGGCUCGGGGAGGGGGUCCGAACCCCGUCUUCCCUAGUCUUUAUCUUCUUCCAGAGCUAAGACCUUCAGUCCUUUGUUUCCCUUCUUGGGGCAGUCCCUUGCCCAGUGUCCUUUUUCUUUACAAUAUGCACAUUGGUCCUUGUCGAGUGGGGUCCUAUUGCCCAGGUUCCCUGACUGUCUAGGGCCUGACCUAAUUUUCCUAAAAUCUCUCUCUCUUUCCCUAUUGCUUUUCCCUUCAACCACUGCAGCCAAGAUCUUAGUCAAAUUCUUCUCUUGCCGUUUAUUACGUCUUUCCUCCCUUUCCUCUCUUUCUCUCUCUUUUCUUUGUUCCCUUUCUUCUUCUGUCUCCCUUUUGUAAUACACUUUCUCUGCCUCCUUCACUAGAUCACGUAACUCAGCCUCCUGUAACCCUUCCAGUCUCUGAAGCUUCUUUCUGAUAUCCAGGGCUGACUGUCCUAUGAAGGCCAGAGCCACUGAGGCUUUCUGAGCCUCCGAGGUAGGAUCAAAAGGGGUGAACCGCCUGAAGGCUUCCAUGAGCCUCUCAAGAAAAACUGAGGGAGGUUCAUUCGGUCCCUGCAUCACCUCUCUUACCUUAGCCAAGUUAGUGGGCCGUCUUGAGGCGCCCCGGAGACCCGCCACCAGAGCCUGGCGAUAGAUUUUCAAGCUCUCCCUACCUUCAGCCGUGUUGUAGUCCCAACCGGGGCGAGUCAAGGGAAAUCCCAUGUCAAUCUCAUUUUGCAACUGCGUGGGUCGCCCGUCGGCCCCAGGAACAUUUUUUCUAGCCUCUAACAGAAUUCUCUCUCGCUCCUCGGUUGUGAAGAGUGUCUGCAGCAGCUGUUGACAAUCAUCCCAAGUAGGCUGGUGAGAGAACAUAAGGGACUCCACCAACCCCGUGAGGCGUUGGGGAUCCUCCGAGAAAGGGGGAUGGUUAGUUUUCCAAUUAUAGAGAUCUGCAGAAGAAAAGGGCCAAUACUGGAGGGGCUGCAAUUGGCCCCCCGGUAUGGGAGGGCCGUACGUGCGCAGCGGUAAUGUCGCGAUCUCGUCUGUCCGCUCCGGGGUGGCGCCCCUCCGGCUCCGAGUCCCUGCAGCAGGUCCCUCCACCGCCGGAGCUCCAGGAGGGGCAGAGGGUCCCCUCGCAGCACCCUGUGCCGGAUAAGGGGGUGGGGGAACAGAUUGGGGUUCCGGCCAAGCCGGCGGCUCCUCAAUCUCGGGGUAGAUAUGAGGAGAGGGCUUGACUUUUUCAGCCGAGUGUUUGUUUUUCUCUCCAAGAGCCAGAAUUCGGGGACCUGGCUUUCUUGGCUUAUUCAGCCAAGGUUUAACCCAUGGCGGAGGAUCCUCUGCCAAAUCUUGCCACGUAAGGAUAUAGGGCUCCUGAUCGGGAUGAGAGCCGGGUCCAGUCUGAAAAAUAAUUGCUUUAACAGCCAGGAUAAUCUCAGAAUUAAAGGUCCCCUCUGAUGGCCAUCCAACAUCGAAUGUCGGCCAUUCAGAGACACAGAAAGUCUGCCAAGGUCCCUUCUUAACCUGAACUGACAAAUUAUGAGCCCUGGAUUUAACUUCAGUCCAAUGGUCGAGAGUCAAACUAAGAGGGGUCGUCACCGUCUGUCCCAUAUUAAAACUGUAGACAAGGACGCACAAGACAAAGACACACAAAACAGAAACCAACAGAUCCA
Molecule: long non-coding RNA, 7469 nt
Filed under: Sus scrofa (pig)
Lineage: Eukaryota; Metazoa; Chordata; Mammalia; Artiodactyla; Suidae
Description: lncRNA (ENSSSCG00035026878.1)
Source: RNAcentral